GAAUAUAACAAUAAAAAUAUUUCCGAACAAUACAUUUUUAAGACAUAAAUAACAAUAGGUUAUAAAAAUAUAAGAAAAAAACAACUAUUGAAAGUUUGCUAUUUCAGGAUAGAUCCAUGAAAGAUAAAUAGAAUAAGAAAAAGUGGAGGAGGGAAAAAAAAAAAAUCUAUUGGAGGAGAAGAGAAAUUUGAAACUAGUUAAUGACGGAGAUUAUCGAGAAGAGGUGAAAGUUCGAUUUAUUUGUAAAGGUGUUCGACUUCGGAGAAUUCGACAGGCAGUGCCAAACAUUUCUGACAACAAGGAAUGUGUUGAGGCCGCAAAUUCUUUCACGUGACAUCCCUACCGAUGACAAAAAUACAGUUUGAUCCACGUUAAGCCCAACUUCCUGUUCUCCUGCGAUGACAAAUCAGCUUGCUCUUCCUCUUACUAUCCUGCACAAUAGCCAUGCAUUGACAAUUUACAUUCUUUACAACCUUUAGUUGCAAAAGUCUAUUUACUUAAAGACGUUCGUCACGAAGAGACAUAAAUCUAUCUGCGGCUCCUUAUCUAUUGCACCUCGUUUUUUAUUAACUGUAUAAAAACCACAAAUUAUUAAUUACUUUUUGAUUAAAGCGUGAA
Molecule: long non-coding RNA, 618 nt
Organism: Centruroides sculpturatus (bark scorpion)
Lineage: Eukaryota; Metazoa; Arthropoda; Arachnida; Scorpiones; Buthidae
Exons: 3
Source: RefSeq, a predicted model, not a curated record